UUGUUGGAGUGAAAAAGUGAAGGGUGACAGCCGUUAAAACACUAUGAUUUUCACAAUAAGAAGUACAAAAUGAGCAGCCAAAGAGGACAAGGGGGAUUAGUGAGAGCAAUUAUAGAUUGCCAAAGAGAGGACAAGAGGGAUUAGUGAGAGCAAUUAUAGAUUGUGAAGUAGUCAAAAAUCAAAUCAAGUAGAAAAGAGUAGAGAUUACACAAUAAUUCAGUAUAGUUUUCCUGACGUAACCAUCUAUCUAUCCCCAAUGCCCAAGCAGCAGCUCUUUCUUCUGGAUCGAUCUCCUUCCCCUGCCGAUUCGAUCGCACUAUCUCAGAGGUACGGAGAGAAAUAGCGAUACGCCGCUAUAUACAGAAAUGUGUUGCUGGGCAUUGAUGAUUCGAUCAAUCUGAGGAAGAUAAUUGCAGUUUGAGGAAAGCACGAGAAUCACGCUCAAGGGCUACUAUAACAUGGCAAUGCCAUGGGCCAUGACUCUCUGGAUGGCCAGGAUGGUGUGGAUAGUUCUGAGUGGCUGGGUUUCGUCAUGCCUGACUGUUGCUGAUGAUAUUGCCAGCUCUAUCCGGACUGGCGACAUCAGCCCUUUCCAUGUUGGAUGACGGAAUUGUACAUUUAGUCAAUCCGAUUGCCUGCUCUGUUUUGUCUAUUCUCUGAUUUCACAGGCCAAAAUUGACCUUCGCUAUGUUCGUGAUUUGUAACAUAUUCAAAAUCCUUAGGCUUAUAAUGUGAUCAAAUGGCGUUUUGAAAGAUUACAUGUUCUGAAAGUAAAGAUGCUGAUGUGCGUAAAUGGAUGCCGCGUGGCAUCCUUUUCUACUUCCUCUCAACUGGAUCGAGUGUAGUGCCUAUUAAACCAAUGCACUUCUACAUGUGAAAUUUGUAUUAUAAUUUUAUGUUUAGGUGUAUUCCUUGUAAUUUUGUUUGUUUUUAUUUAUUUGUUCUUUUUGAAGUUCUUGUGAAGCUAGGGUUCCUAAUUGACAUUGAUAAUGAGCCACGAGUUCCUAUUUGCUUU
Malania oleifera is the source of this 1015-nucleotide RNA transcript. RefSeq lists it as uncharacterized. The transcript has 4 exons. The record is from RefSeq and is a predicted model, not a curated record. Lineage: Eukaryota; Viridiplantae; Streptophyta; Magnoliopsida; Santalales; Ximeniaceae.